Molecule: ribosomal RNA, 493 nt
Filed under: uncultured bacterium
Lineage: Bacteria
Description: partial 16S ribosomal RNA
Rfam family: Bacterial small subunit ribosomal RNA
Source: RNAcentral
GACGAACGCUGGCGGCGUGCCUAACACAUGCAAGUUGAGCGACGAACCAGGGCUUGCCCUGGGGCAAAGCAGCGAACGGGUGAGUAACACGUGGGUAACCUACCCCGAUAACCGGGACAACCCGAGGAAACCCGGGCUAAUACCGGAUGUGCUCACUGGACUUCGGUUCAGUGCGUAAAGGAAGCUUCGGCCUCCGUAUCGGGAGGGGCCCGCGGCCCAUUAGUUUGUUGGUGAGGUAACGGCUCACCAAGACCGCGAUGGGUAGCUGGUCUGAGAGGACGAUCAGCCACACUGGGACUGAGACACGGCCCAGACUCCUACGGGAGGCAGCAGUGGGGAAUCUUGCGCAAUGCGCGAAAGCGUGACGCAGCAACGCCGCGUGGGGGAAGAAGGCCUUCGGGUUGUAAACCCCUUUCAGGAGGGACGAAGGUUCGGCGGUGAAUAGCCGUCCGGACUGACGGUACCUCCACAAGAAGCCCCGGCUAACUACGUG